This 585-nucleotide ribosomal RNA is filed under the name Rhinoprosopa lucifer. RNAcentral describes it as "eukaryotic LSU rRNA". Lineage: Eukaryota; Metazoa; Arthropoda; Insecta; Diptera; Syrphidae. The record is from RNAcentral.
AGUACGUGAAACUGCUUAGAGGUUAAGCCCGAUGAACCUGAAUAUCCAUUAUUGAAAAUUCAAUAUUAAUUAAAUGAUAUAUAUCAUAUUAUUGAAAUAGUAUGCAAUUUUUCAAUAUAAGGACAUUGUAAUUUGUUAAUGUUAUAAAUAUUUAUUAAAAGAUCUUUUACUUAAGUUUAUUUAAAUUGUUUAUUUUCGGAUAUUCAACAUAAAAUAAAUGUAUUAGAUUUGAUAAAUCAUUGACAGAUAUAAUUAUAUAUUGUGCUUAAAUUUUUCGGAAUUUUACAAUAAUAGAUGGAUCUAUUGAUUUGUUUAUUCAUUGUAUGCACUUUUAUGAUUAACAAUGCGAUAGAUUCAGGAUACCUUCGGGACCCGUCUUGAAACACGGACCAAGGAGUCUAACAUAUGUGCAAGUCAUUGGGUAUUUUUAAUAAAACCCAAUGGCAUAAUUAACUUAACUGUUAUUUAUGAUGGGAUUAAUUUAUAUUUUGUUAUGAUUUAUUUAUUCAAUCCCGGGGCGUUCUAUACAGUUAUGUAUAAUAAUAUUUAUAUUAUUUAUGCCUCUAACUAGAGCGUACCUUGAGC